This 79-nucleotide transfer RNA is filed under the name Trametes sanguinea. RNAcentral's name for it is "tRNA-Asn". It matches the Rfam family "tRNA". Rfam says of the family: Transfer RNA (tRNA) molecules are approximately 80 nucleotides in length. Their secondary structure includes four short double-helical elements and three loops (D, anti-codon, and T loops). The record is from RNAcentral. Lineage: Eukaryota; Fungi; Basidiomycota; Agaricomycetes; Polyporales; Polyporaceae. RNAcentral also lists the same sequence under 1 other name.
UGCCCCGUGGCUGAGUUGGUUACAGCGUCCGACUGUUACUGCAAUCGGAAGGUCGUGAGUUCGAGCCUCACCGGGGCAG